GACGUAGGGCGCGAGCGUUGUCCGGAUUUAUUGGGCGUAAAGAGCUCGUAGGCGGCUUGUCGCGUCGAAUGUGAAAACUCGGGGCUCAACCCCGCGCUUGCAUUCGAUACGGGCAGGCUCGAGUUCGGUAGGGGAGACUGGAAUUCCUGGUGUAGCGGUGAAAUGCGCAGAGUAUCAGGAGGAACACCGGUGGCGAAGGCGGGUCUCUGGGCCGAUGACUGACACUGGAGAAGCGAAAGCGU
This 242-nucleotide ribosomal RNA is filed under the name uncultured bacterium. Its description in RNAcentral is "partial 16S ribosomal RNA". It matches the Rfam family "Bacterial small subunit ribosomal RNA", at positions 524 to 762 of the family's 1533-position model. The record is from RNAcentral.